RNAcentral lists this long non-coding RNA (419 nucleotides) under Mus musculus (house mouse). Its description in RNAcentral is "predicted gene, 50430". The record is from RNAcentral. Lineage: Eukaryota; Metazoa; Chordata; Mammalia; Rodentia; Muridae.
UGUCAACUUGAGAGAUACUAGAGUCACAAGGAAGAGGGAUCCACAGCUGAGGGAUCGCCUCCAUCACGAUUGCAUCAUAAUCUGUGGGAGGCCCACAUUUCAGAGCUUUGUGUAUUGGGGGUAGAUCUGGAAGCAGUUCCCAAUUCUUCCUGUACAUUAUGUAAUAUCACUUAAAAUUUGGAUUGAAGCAAUCCAUUCUGUCUCAUCCCUUGGACCUUGUCUCUCUACCUUCAUCUCCCGCGGUUGGAUACUACCACCAAGGCUCUCCGAACAUUGGGAUCCAUUCGAGGUUCAGCUGGGGAUGAGAGCCUCCAAAUGGUCCUUCUUCUGGAGACACUUCACCUGUGAUAGCCUCUGCCCCAGCCCAGUCUGCAAACCCAAUUUGAUUUAUUAUCCCAAGCCUGGGCCCAGCUGUGCAC